RNAcentral lists this transfer RNA (72 nucleotides) under Hedysarum polybotrys var. alaschanicum. RNAcentral describes it as "tRNA-Gln". It matches the Rfam family "tRNA". From Rfam's summary of the family: Transfer RNA (tRNA) molecules are approximately 80 nucleotides in length. Their secondary structure includes four short double-helical elements and three loops (D, anti-codon, and T loops). Lineage: Eukaryota; Viridiplantae; Streptophyta; Magnoliopsida; Fabales; Fabaceae. The record is from RNAcentral.
UGGGGCGUGGCCAAAUGGUAAGGCAGCGGGUUUUGAUCCCGUUAAGCGGAGGUUCGAAUCCUUCCGUCCCAG